AUUCCAUGAUGAGCGUAAUAACUCUUUGUACCUUUCCCAUGCCUUAUACAAGGACUCAUCAUCUAUUUGAUGGAAGGCAGUGAUCUCGUUCCUCAACUU
This 99-nucleotide small nucleolar RNA is filed under the name Gossypium hirsutum (cotton). RNAcentral describes it as "Plant small nucleolar RNA R71". It matches the Rfam family "Plant small nucleolar RNA R71". Rfam says of the family: R71 is a member of the C/D box family of snoRNAs containing the C (UGAUGA) and D (CUGA) box motifs. Multiple nearly identical copies of this snoRNA have been identified in Arabidopsis, and it is thought to function as a 2'-O-ribose methylation guide for 18S ribosomal RNA. Lineage: Eukaryota; Viridiplantae; Streptophyta; Magnoliopsida; Malvales; Malvaceae. The record is from Rfam by way of RNAcentral.